RNAcentral lists this ribosomal RNA (492 nucleotides) under uncultured bacterium. RNAcentral's name for it is "partial 16S ribosomal RNA". It matches the Rfam family "Bacterial small subunit ribosomal RNA", at positions 29 to 507 of the family's 1533-position model. The record is from RNAcentral.
AGUGAACGCUGGCGGUAGGCCUAACACAUGCAAGUCGAACGGCAGCACAGUAAGAGCUUGCUCUUACGGGUGGCGAGUGGCGGACGGGUGAGGAAUACAUCGGAAUCUACUUUUUCGUGGGGGAUAACGUAGGGAAACUUACGCUAAUACCGCAUACGACCUACGGGUGAAAGCAGGGGAUCUUCGGACCUUGCGCGAUUGAAUGAGCCGAUGUCGGAUUAGCUAGUUGGCGGGGUAAAGGCCCACCAAGGCGACGAUCCGUAGCUGGUCUGAGAGGAGGAUCAGCCACCCUGGAGCUGGGACACGGUCCAGACUCCUACGGGAGGCAGCAGUGGGGAAUAUUGGACAAUGGGCGCAAGCCUGAUCCAGCCAUACCGCGUGGGUGAAGAAGGCCUUCGGGUUGUAAAGCCCUUUUGUUGGGAAAGAAAAGCAGCAGGUUAAUACCCCGCUGUUCUGACGGUACCCAAAGAAUAAGCACCGGCUAACUUCGUG